CAACUGGGCAACUUUUACUCUGCACAGGUUUUGAUAAAUCUCCCCCACUCAAUCCAAAGAUAACAGGACAGAAAACAUGCUUUCAUUUCUCCACAAAGAGGGAUUGAUGGGCUAUUUAUGGAGUUGUGGCUACACCACAACCCACUCAGUAUUAUUCUAAUUGUAUAUACCAGCACUAUAUAGCUGGCUAUCCACUUCAUGGGUGGAAGAAACCUUGGAACAAGAACCAAUGAUUGUAACUACCUCAGUUCAGCAAUAUUUGGAACAACCUCACCCCGUUUCCUCAAUGUGUGUGUUUUUCUGAUCACCAUCUAAUUUUUUCUG
Molecule: long non-coding RNA, 324 nt
Organism: Hyla sarda
Lineage: Eukaryota; Metazoa; Chordata; Amphibia; Anura; Hylidae
Exons: 3
Source: RefSeq, a predicted model, not a curated record